RNAcentral lists this ribosomal RNA (495 nucleotides) under uncultured archaeon. RNAcentral describes it as "bacterial SSU rRNA". It matches the Rfam family "Archaeal small subunit ribosomal RNA", at positions 467 to 936 of the family's 1478-position model. The record is from RNAcentral.
GCGGGCCCCGAGGUGGGUGCUUCCAUUAUUUAUUGAGGCUUAAAAGGCGUUUCGUAAGCCGGCCCUCGUAAAAUCCCUUGGGGUAAAAUCGGGGCAGCUUCAAACUGUUUCGAAUUCCGAAGGAGACUGCGGAGGGCUUCGGGGACCGGGGGAGAGGUCAAGAGGUACUUUCGGGGGUAGGGGGUAAAAAUCCCUGUAAUCCUUCGAAAGGACCACCAGUGGCGAAAGGCGUCUGACUAGAACGGAUCCCGACGGUGAGGGACGAAAGCCCUGGGGCGCAAACGGGAUUAGAUACCCCGGUAGUCCAGGGUGUAAACGCUGCGGUCUUGGUGUCGGAGCUCCUACGGGGGCGUCCGGUGCCGGAGAGAAAUUGUUAAUCCUGCCGCUUGGGGAGUACGGUCGCAAGACUGAAACUUAUCGGAUUUGUCGGGAGAGCACCGCAACGGGAGGAGCGUGCGGUUCAAUUGGAUUCAACGCCGGAAGGCGAAUCUGCAG